GAAGCACGGUGUGUAGCAGCGCAGUAAGAAGUGCAGACACGAACGAUUGACUUCAUCAUCAUUUAAUUUCAACAAGAGAAUCAUCUAUGGCCAGUUUAGAAAUUCGCCUUAUUCUACUUACCGUCGUUUGCCUUUAUAUACUGGCAUGCACAACAUCCUUUAUAUCCGCAACAGAGCUUGACGAAGAACAGUGGGAUGCCGACCAACAAGAACACGACGAAGACUUUUUAGAUAGGAGAAAUGCCGCAUUAUUCACCAACCGUCUCUUGUCCGGUUUCCACUCAGGGGUUAAAGACCGCCGGAAUGCGUCCCUGUUCACACAACGAUUGCUGAGUUCUAUGGGACAACGCGCUAGACGAAAUGCUGCGCUUUUCGCCCAGAGGCUUCUAUCGGGACUGGGUGGUCAUAAAAGGAUGCGGCAGUCAAGGGGAAGUAAUCCGGUCGCUGAAGCAUAAGACAUUUACAGGAUAAUUGAAGAGUUUCAGUGAAGAUAUUUUAUGCUUGUAUCAUAUUUGAACACUCCCUUUGAUUUGAUUUUUUUCCCACCUGUAAUUGAAUUAUUAGUCUCUUCAAGUGUAUGAAUUUAUUUACCUCGGCAUUCGCCGUUUUUAAAGGAUUUGGAUCUCCAUGCUACUGCCCGCAGUCUUUCAGUACAGUUUAUAGUGGUGGAACGCCCUCUCUCGGUCGAUGUCAAUGUUGGCUGAGUCCUGUUGACUAGUAUCGAAACACAAAUGGUAUUAGUGUACACGUCAGAGGUCCCUCAUACCGUGUUUGUUUGUUUGUAACCUUUCACUCGUAAAGCGCAUAUUUAAAAUUCUUAGACUUGCGCAAUGUUCAAUUUUACAGUGCGCACCAUGUCACAUCAAGACUCCAUUUCUACUUAUUCAUUAUAUAUGCAGAUAAUAUUGAAAUAGUAUCAAAUAUUCCACUUUUGACAAAUAAAUUAAGGUGUGUGGGAAGCAAUUCCAACUUCGCCAGUGUCAUGAAUGCAUGCAGAGAACUUUGACCUGAACUACUAUGGUGACAUAUGGAAACUCACGUACGAAGCUGUGUUCAUGUCAAAAUCUAUAUUUUUGUCAAAGCUUUGUACAAUGAUAGUUAACUUUCAAUAGCUAGGUUCACUUGCUACUUUUGUAUAUUAAUAACGCCCUGCUUUGCCGUUUUUAAAACGAGGAUAUUCUGUGAAAGUAAUGCCAACCCCCAGAAAUACAAGAUGCCAAAGCAAAUGUAAACAAAAUGCAAUAACAUAGCACUAUAGAAAAGCAGAAAUGUUGUAUUUUUGAUUCAGCUAGAUGGCAGAAAAAAGAUCGACGCGUAUAUGAUUGUGAUUUUAGAAGUUACCCACUUGUUAUUGUUUUGAACACGCAUGCGCAGUCAGCAGACUGGUAUAAGUGACAGCUUGAGCUUUCUUUGUGCGCCAUUAGUAUUUAGUUGUUUUAGUUCUUAUAAUUUAUGUAAUAUACUGAUAAACGAGUGAUGUAUUAAAUUAUGCAUAUUA
Molecule: long non-coding RNA, 1498 nt
Organism: Saccoglossus kowalevskii
Lineage: Eukaryota; Metazoa; Hemichordata; Enteropneusta; Harrimaniidae
Source: RefSeq, a predicted model, not a curated record